UGGGUGGGGGCCUGGAUGGAGCGCGCCCCAGGCCCAUGAAGUGUAGUGAGACCUCAUAGUCAACAAGAGGCAGGACUAAUCUCUUCCGUGUGGUAACCAGUGACAGGACCCGAGAGAAUGGCCUGGAGCUCAGUCAGGGGAGGUUUAGGUUGGGUAUCAGGGUAUGGUUCGUCACCCAGAGGUGUCUGGGCACUGGCACAGGCUCCCCAGGGAAGUGGUCACAGCACCAGCCUGACAGAGUUCAAAAGGCUUUAGGACAACGCUUUUAGGCACAUGGUGUGAUUCUUAGGACUGUAUGUGCAGGGCCAGGAGUGGGACUCGACUGUGCUGGUGGGUCCCUUUCAGCUCGGGAUAGCCUGUGCCUCUGUGGGAGCCACCAGGUACGAUGCUCGGCCGAGGGGAUGGCGUGUCGCAGUGCCCCGGGCUCAGGGCCCGCCGGGGGACCGGGCGUGUCCAUCAGCCUGGCAGGAUGGAGAGGUCUCGGAGAAAGCCAGCGGAGCUCGGCGAGUCGGUGGCCUGGGGAACCCCAGACCCCCUGCGAGCGUGCCGUGGGACAGAGCCCAUGGCGUGCUGGGGCCGCUGAUGUUGGCUAGUGGGUUGCUAGCAGCUGUCCCUCCUUGGCUCUCCGUUGUCUCUGGUAACCAGGAGCCUGAGGAAGGGCAGUGGGCCCGCCCUUCUGCCUCUUGCACGGCUUCAAGUCUGCAUUUCAUGGAUUCUCUGGAGGCUUCACGUUUCCCCCAGAUGGGAAAAUGCAGGGACAAUGACUGAAGAGCUGCAUGGAAGAGAAGGUGACCACAGAGAUAGUCCUGUCAUAAUUCAGUCACUCUCCAAAGAGACAAAGCAGAAGAAAGGCAGUGGGCUGAGCAUAAAAAUGGCCUGGAAGGAGAAAGCUUUGAACUAUCUGAGACCUGCAACUAAAAUAUGCCAAAAGUUAUUGCUGCUUCAAGUAGCAUUAAGGUCUGCUUGGUGCCCAGCAGGAACAGUGUAUAUUUAGUGAGUGGCUUCAGCUUUGGCACUGAAAACCUGGAUAUUCUACCACCUUACCAGGACACAGAUCCCAUCCAGUACUGUAGUAGUGAUUUCAGACCCUGGGUUGAAUGAAACCUUCUCCCGCAAUUUUCAAACUCAGUUCUCAACAGCAGAAGGGUGAGAGGUUCAGAAGUAACACAGGAACAGGUCACCACUGAGAUGUGAAUAAACCAGAGCAAAAUCAUGCUCUUUAUUGCCUU
Molecule: long non-coding RNA, 1229 nt
Filed under: Cyanistes caeruleus (blue tit)
Lineage: Eukaryota; Metazoa; Chordata; Aves; Passeriformes; Paridae
Description: lncRNA (ENSCCEG00000004033.1)
Source: RNAcentral